This 294-nucleotide unclassified non-coding RNA is filed under the name Hevea brasiliensis (rubber tree). The record is from RNAcentral. Lineage: Eukaryota; Viridiplantae; Streptophyta; Magnoliopsida; Malpighiales; Euphorbiaceae.
GGGAUUUGCUGUAUGUUUCUCUGGCAACUUAAGUAACACCACAGUUGACUUUAUUCCCUUAUGUGAUGAUGGGAUGUCGUUGAUGACCCAGAAACUUGCCUUAUCCAACCAUUCAGAAGAAUUUCCAGAAACUGCUCUUCAUUUUUUCUUGGUACCUUUUGCUGGAUUAUGGGAUACAUCUAAGGCAAUUGGAGAAACACCAAAUGGGCCUAUUACAAUAUCUUUUUCUGGAGAAAAGAAGUUUGGAUUUCGUUUGUUGUAUAAACAAGAACCAAAUCUUGAGGGCUUGUUACA